GACUUAGCCUCGGCCUGUAAAUAGCAUGCUAACAAUCAAUACAACAAUCCAUAAAGAUAGGUAAACAAUUUCAAUAUUUCUAAUGUUAACAGGGCAACAAAUGCUGUCUAAUCAGGAUUGGAAAAUCAGAGUGGGAAUGAUAAUAAGGUACGAUACUGUUACUUGUGGUUCAAUUUCUUAAAUAGUGGCCACAGAUUCAGAAAUGGAUAUUGAAUUAGGGCCUACUGAUGUGGAAAAUCAUGCCAUGCCGCUUGUAAGACUUGUUGUCGUGUGUUUUUUUCAAUAAAUUCAGCUUGUUCAUAAAAUUAAAAAAAAAAAUCUUUAUAAGAAAUUUUAUGUAAAUCUACCUUCAUCUGCUCUUGGUCAGAUGAGACCACAAAUUUGUCUGCACCAAGCAAAGUUAGAGCUUCCUCUUUCUUGGAUAUGCUAGUGCUGAGAACAGUCACAUUCAACCCAAACGCCUUCCCAAACUUCACUGCCAUGUGACCAAGACCUCCAAGUCCAAUCACUCCCAGAGAUUUACCAGGUUGGUUCAUCUUGUGGCGUAUCAUG
This is a long non-coding RNA of Quercus robur (English oak), 552 nucleotides long. RefSeq lists it as uncharacterized. NCBI's taxonomy places the organism in Eukaryota, Viridiplantae, Streptophyta, Magnoliopsida, Fagales, Fagaceae. The record is from RefSeq and is a predicted model, not a curated record. The transcript is spliced from 2 exons.